RNAcentral lists this ribosomal RNA (257 nucleotides) under uncultured bacterium. RNAcentral describes it as "partial 16S ribosomal RNA". It matches the Rfam family "Bacterial small subunit ribosomal RNA", at positions 524 to 777 of the family's 1533-position model. The record is from RNAcentral.
UACGUAGGGUGCAAGCGUUUAAUCGGAAUUACUGGGCGUAAAGCGUGCGCAGGCGGUUGUGCAAGACAGAUGUGAAAUCCCCGGGCUCAACCUGGGAAUUGCAUUUGUGACUGCACGGCUAGAGUGUGUCAGAGGGGGGUAGAAUUCCACGUGUGAGCAGUGAAAUGCGUAGAGAUGUGGAGGAAUACCGAUGGCGAAGGCAGCCCCCUGGGAUAACACUGACGCCUCAUGCACGAAAGCGUGGGGAGCAAACAGGA